This 4232-nucleotide long non-coding RNA is filed under the name Homo sapiens (human). Its description in RNAcentral is "HSALNT0387740". Lineage: Eukaryota; Metazoa; Chordata; Mammalia; Primates; Hominidae. The record is from RNAcentral.
GUCUCCGGCGUGUCCUGCAUCUCGGCAGCCAGCUCCUCUGCAGCUCAGGCCCCGUGAGUCACAGCCGCUUCCUCAAAUGCUUUGGCUGACCGCAUCCCCCCGCCCCGCCAGAACCCUGGAUGCCGGAGCCCUCCCAGCGAGAGCCGUGUUUAUUUUACUUUACAUACAUUUUCCAACACGGAGCGGCUUGCACACAUGCAGCUCUUAGGCCCGGGCCGCACGUCUCAGAAGCCCCGUGUGCGACUUUGACCGCCGCACGAUCCUCUGCCGGGGGAGGUGGGCCCGCUGCGCUUUGGGAGCACCCGCGCCCGACACUGAGGUCUCGGUGCUGUGUUCGGCCUCUUCGUCCCUGCGGGUCCCCUCUGGGAGCAGAGGCGGUCGGAAAACCCUGGGGCUGAAGUGCAGGCUUCGGGAGGACGCGACCUGCCAAGAUCAGCUCCCGGCACGUGAUGGGAGCCUGGCUCACCUUCCCCCAGCGCACGAUGGGCCGCAGCCUCCCCGGUCGGCCUGGCCUGCUGGAAAGGAGCAGCUCUGUUUCCAGAGGCUUCUGGCGAAGCCCACGGCCUCCCAUUGUUGGCUGAUUUAUAAGGAAAGAGGGGAAAGGCCAAGUGUGGAUGCCAUUAGCAUAACCUAAUCCAGACCCCAUGACAAGUCCAGGAUCCUGCAGGGAGAGGGCAUCCUUGAACGUGAAGGACUGGCUUUGGAAACUUGGCCUCCCGGAAGAAAGGUCUCCGGGCCCACCCACACCCACCUUGUGGACGCCCCCGCAGUCGAAUACACUCCACAGGAAGACGGACCACAAACAGCAGCAGCCUCCGGUGUCGGCCCAGUGAUCCGGGAGCUCAGAGUGUAGGUACCUGACGGCUUGACUCGUCCCCAGGACAAGGCCUGUGAGAGGGAGGGGGGCACUCUGAGUGUGCGAAUGUGUGAGUGUGUGUGUCUGGGCACGAGUGUGUAUGCGUGUGUGUGUGCAUGUACUAUAUUCACAUGUGUGAGAGUGUGAAUGUGUGUGUCUGUGGGUCUGCGCACAUAAGUGUGUGUGUGCAUAUACUAUAUUCACGUGUGACUGUGCAAAUGUGAGUGUGUCUGUAGGUCUGGGCACGUGUAUGCGUGUGUGUGCGAGUACUAUAUUCACAUGUGUGAGUGUGCGAAUGUGUCUGUGGGUCUGGGCACACGAGUGUGUAUGCGUGUGUAUGCAUGUACUAUAUUCACGUGUGUGAGUGUGCGAAUGUGUCUGUGGGUCUGGGCACAUGAGUGUGUGCAUAUACUAUAUUCACAUGUGUGAGUGUGCAAAUGUGAGUGUGUCUGUAGGUCUGGGCACAUGUGUAUGCAUGUGUGUGCGAGUACUAUAUUCACGUGUGUGUGAGUGCGAAUGUGAGUGGGUGUGGGUCUGGUCACAUGUAUGUAUGCAUGUGUGCAUGUAUUAUAGUCAUGUGAGUGUGCAAAUGUGUGAGUGUGGGUCUGGGCACACAAGUGUGUAUGCAUGUGUUUCUAUUGUAUUCAUGUGAGUAUAAGUGCAAAUGUGUGUGUGUUCUCUGCACACACAAGUGUAUAGGUAUGUUUGUGUGUGCAUGCAUUGUAUUCAUGUGAGUGUAUGUGAAUGUGUGACUGUGAGAGUUUGAGUGUGCCUGUGUGUCUGGCUAUACUAGUGCGUGCCUGUGUUCGUGUGCAUCAGUCUGGGUGUGCCCGUGUGUGAAUGUGAGUGUCUAUGCGUGGGUGUCCCAAUAUGUGUGUGCCUGUGUAUCCAUGUCUGGGUGUGCCUGUGAGUGUGAGUGUGCACAUGGGUGUCUGGAUAUGUGAGUGCUUGUGACUACCUGUGUGAGUACCCAUGUCUAGGUGUGCCCGUGGGUGUGAGUGUCUGUGCGUGGGUGUCUGGAUACGUAUGUGCCUGUAUGAGUGUGUAUCCAUGUCUGGGUGUGCCCACGGGUGUGAGUGUGAAUAUGUAAGUCUUGCGUGUGCAUGAGUGUGUUCACAUGAGUGUGAGGGUCUGUGCAUAACAGCCUAUUGUGUGAGUGUGUGCAUGUGGAUUGCAUUUAUGUGAGUCCGUGUCUGUGCACGCACGUGUCCCCGCACAAGCCAGCCCGAGAGGGAGUGUCCCCUGAACACACCCUGGCAGCACUUGCAGCGUGACGAGGUUGAGGGAAUGUGUCGCUGAGGUCGUAAAUGCCUCUCGCACGUCCCAACACGCUGGAGCAACAGCAGCCCGUGACGCCGGCCGUGCAGCCGUGAAGUCCGUGGAGCGUCCCUAAUCACUGGGGGUUCUGCUUUGCGGCGACAGCGGUGCUACUCACAGCUCCAGAACUCUGCAGCUUCCCCCCUGAAACGGGAACGGGAAGGUGGCGCGGGCGUCCACACCUCGAGCCACAGCCGGCGGGAGGCACAGGCUGGCAAAACUGCCUCUCAGUAGUGAGAAGAGACAAACAAACCGAACGCCAGGAGCAGAGGAAACGAAGACGAUGUGGCCAAGAAAAAUUGCAUUUUUCUUUCCAGUUUUGCUAAAAUAGCCUUCUCAUUGGCUGCGGCUUUGGAGGUGGCAGAAAUCAUACGUUUAAUCACGGCGCCCUCCUGCUUGCCAAGCUUUGCGUCCUCCAGAAUUGUCCUGUGAGUGACUCCCACAGGAUGGAGACUUUUGUGUCUGGCUUCCUUCACUUCGCAGCAGGCUUCGCGGGACCCGUGUGGUGGCACCAGCGUCCCGCCCUUGGUGCUGCUGAGCUUGGCUCUGCAGAAACCCAUGAAAGAGGAUCCUGAAAGAGCAAGGGCGGCCUCCAGGUGAAGGUGGUGGGCGGCCUCCAGGUGAAGGCGGCCUCCAGGUGAAGGUGGUCAGCACCCUCCCUUUGGCCAAGAGGAGACUGCAGUUUCAACUCAAAGAUUAUUCCUGAAUGAUGCAGCAAGCUUAAACUUCCUUAAAAACAAACCUCUGGGAAGAGGAAAACGAGGCAAGAUGCUGAGAAAAAGUCAUCUCCCACUCUGCCCUUCUCUGGCAAAUCGAAGUGUCCUCUUGUGGGAGGCGGUGGGCAGCGACACUCCUGUUGGACGUCAGUGCUCUCGGGAUGGGCCCGGCCACCCCGGAGCAGAACUCACUUAGGGCCUGGUGCCCCUGUGCCCAGUUCUCAGAACGUCGGAGUGCUCAGUUCUCAGAACGCCGGAGUGCCCCAUUCAUAACCUGCAGCCCCGUUCAUAGCCUGCAGCUCCCCUCCUUCCUCUCCUCCCGGUCGUCAGGGAGCACCCCCAGCUCCCCUCCCCACUCUCAAACCCUCCUCCUCCCUCCCCUCUCUCAUUUCCCUGUUUGCAGGAUCUCCUCCUGCCCACUCUCCAGCCCAGGUCCUCCCCUCUCAUCUCCAAUUCUGCUUCAUGGGCCAUGACAGCAGGCAGGCCAUGGCCUGCUCUCAGCAGUUUGAUCGAUGGACUAAGGAGAUCACUCCUAUGAGAGUGAAAAAGUCAAAUGUGCCUGAGAUUCGGAUGGGGAGCUCUCAAAGCUACGGAUUGCAAGAGUCAACACCGCCUCAAAAGUACAAGGCCGGCCGGGUGCAGUGGCUCACACCUGUAAUCCCAGCACUUUGGGAGACUGAGGCGGGUGGAUCACCUGAGGUCAGGAGCUCAAGACCAGCCUGACCAACAUGGUGAAAUCCCGUCUCUAUUAAAAAUACAAAAAAGAUUAGCCGGGUGUGGUGGUGCAUGCUUGUAGUCCCAGCUACUCGGGAGGCUGAGGCAGGGGGAGCACUUGAACCCGGGAGGUGGAGGUUGCAGUGAGCCGAGAUUGCACCAUUGCACUCCAGCCUGGGCAACAGAGUGAGACCCUGCCUCAAAAAAAUAAAAAAAUAAAAGUACGAGGCCCGGUUUAAAUGCAGGAGGAAUCUGGUGAGCGAGUUUCACUCUGAUGCAACAGAAAAGCCAAGCCAAGCCUUGGCUGUGCCUGGUCUUGGCCGGGGAGCCACAGGCAGGGUCUGCUGGUUUCGGUGUCAGGGGCACAUCCCCAGGACCACGUCUGAGAUGGGAAGUGCCUUGAUGGAAAACUGAUACCUUUUUCUUUCCGAGUAACUUUAGAACAUGUCGCUUCAAAUAUAACUAAUAUCCUGAUUUCAGUGGACUUGCAUGGAAGGAAACGCAAGUUCAUUUGCCAGUGGGGGGUGAGGACUGGGAGAGUGGGGAGCAGGGUGGGGAAGAGGGGAGCAUUCCACAAGCCGCAAGAGCCUGGACACCUCCAGCCUUCAAUAAAUAGCAUUUGAAUUUGC